UACGUAGGUGGCAAGCGUUGUCCGGAUUUACUGGGCGUAAAGAGCGCGCAGGCGGUCGUUCAAGUCCCGGGUGAAAGCCCCCGGCUCAACUGGGGAGGGUCACGCGAUACUGAUCGACUCGAAGGCAGGAGAGGGUAGUGGAAUUCCCGGUGUAGUGGUGAAAUGCGUAGAUAUCGGGAGGAACACCAGUGGCGGAGGCGACUACCUGGCCUGUUCUUGACGCUGAGGCGCGAAAGCUAGGGGAGCAAACGGG
This 253-nucleotide ribosomal RNA is filed under the name uncultured bacterium. RNAcentral's name for it is "partial 16S ribosomal RNA". It matches the Rfam family "Bacterial small subunit ribosomal RNA", at positions 524 to 776 of the family's 1533-position model. The record is from RNAcentral.